This is a non-coding RNA of Gymnothorax javanicus (giant moray), 69 nucleotides long. Lineage: Eukaryota; Metazoa; Chordata; Actinopteri; Anguilliformes; Muraenidae. The record is from the annotation of a GenBank genome assembly.
GGCACGGUAGCACAGUGGUUAAGUGCACUUGACUUGGAAUCAAUAGGUCCUGAGUUUGAAUCCUUGCCA